ACAAUUAAAUGUCCGCCAGGGUACUACAAGCAUCAGCUUAAAACCCAAAAGACCUGACGGUGUCUCAAACCCCCCUAGAGGAGCCUGUUCUAGAACCGAUAAUCCCCGUUAAACCUCACCACCUCUAGCCACCCCAGCCUAUAUACCGCCGUGUCAGCUUACCCUGUGAAGGAAACAAAAGUAAGCAAAAUGGGCACAGCAAGACGUCAGGUCGAGGUGUAGCGCAUGAAGUGGAAAGAAAUGGGCUACAUUUUCUACCACAGAAUAUCACGAACAUGCACCAUGAAAUAAUGCUUGAAGGUGGAUUUAGUAGUAAAAAGGAAA
Molecule: ribosomal RNA, 324 nt
Filed under: Stolothrissa tanganicae
Lineage: Eukaryota; Metazoa; Chordata; Actinopteri; Clupeiformes; Clupeidae
Description: partial 12S ribosomal RNA
Rfam family: Bacterial small subunit ribosomal RNA
Source: RNAcentral